UGCGCAGGCGGCUUACUAAGUCAGUGGUGAAAUCUUGCGGCUUAACCGUAAAACUGCCAUUGAUACUGGUAGGCUUGAAUUCAGUUGAGGUUGGCGGAAUGUGUAAUGUAGCGGUGAAAUGCUUAGAUAUUACACAGAACACCGAUUGCGAAGGCAGCUAGCUAAACUGAUAUUGACGCUGAGGCACGAAAGCGUGGGGAGCGAACAGGAUUAGAUACCCUGGUAGUCC
RNAcentral lists this ribosomal RNA (229 nucleotides) under uncultured bacterium. RNAcentral describes it as "partial 16S ribosomal RNA". It matches the Rfam family "Bacterial small subunit ribosomal RNA", at positions 568 to 796 of the family's 1533-position model. The record is from RNAcentral.